Pogoniulus pusillus (Red-fronted tinkerbird) is the source of this 698-nucleotide long non-coding RNA. RefSeq lists it as uncharacterized. The transcript is spliced from 2 exons. The record is from RefSeq and is a predicted model, not a curated record. NCBI's taxonomy places the organism in Eukaryota, Metazoa, Chordata, Aves, Piciformes, Lybiidae.
AUUUGACCAUCUCACCGUAGUGGUGACCAAAGAGUCACUUUCCCAUGGCACUCCACCGAACGUUUCUCAACAGUUCUCUCCCCCCUCUCACCCUGCCUGGAUACAGAAAGAGCUUCAAGGACUGCUUCACCUCUUGACACCCUUUGUAAGCCUAACGACCCUUAAUGGUCCACCUGCAGCUGCUGGAAGGGAACGGGAGAGAGGCAGACCCCGAGGAAGUCAGCCUGACCGGAAAGAGCUCAGAUAUGGUACCAGCCUCCCUGCCUCAGAAGCAAGGAUCACUUUAUUUCAUUAAACGCCCCCCCUGGGCAGGAAAGAGGCAAUUUGCUCUCCGCAGAGCUGCACCAGCACCUUCCUUCUCUGGGGAGACACCUGGCACCACAAGCCCAGAGAAAGCAGCAAGCAGCACAGCAGCAGCACUCUAGAGUCACACCGAGAUGCAUUGAGGCCCCUAAAGCCGAAGCCAUGGAGUGUCCCUGCAAGGCAGCAGCUGCGGAGAGCAGAAGCAAGCUCUGCGCUGCGCGAUUGUGCUGCCCACACUCCGGAGCGUCUAGCAGACGCCAGAGGAUAAUAAAGGCCCAGGUUCCCAGGGGUCCCUGCAGCCAACAAACAUGUUUUAUUAACUCCCUCAAUGACCUCACCGCACAGGAACGUGGCUCUGAUAAUUUAUAGACACAAUUUAAUUGGACUUGAUGCAA